This 442-nucleotide ribosomal RNA is filed under the name uncultured bacterium. Its description in RNAcentral is "partial 16S ribosomal RNA". It matches the Rfam family "Bacterial small subunit ribosomal RNA", at positions 339 to 795 of the family's 1533-position model. The record is from RNAcentral.
CUACGGGUUGCAGCAGUGGGGAAUAUUGCACAAUGGAGGAAACUCUGAUGCAGCAACGCCGCGUGAGGGAAGAAGGUUUUCGGAUUGUAAACCUCUGUCCUCGGUGAAGAAAAAAAUGACGGUAGCCGAGGAGGAAGCCACGGCUAACUACGUGCCAGCAGCCGCGGUAAUACGUAGGUGGCAAGCGUUGUCCGGAUUUACUGGGUGUAAAGGGUGCGCAGGCGGGACUGCAAGUUGGAUGUGAAAUGCCGAGGCUCAACCUCGGAGCUGCAUCCAAAACUGUGGUUCUUGAGAGAUGUAGAGGUAAGCGGAAUUCCGAGUGUAGCGGUGAAAUGCGUAGAUAUUCGGAGGAACACCAGUGGCGAAGGCGGCUUACUGGGCAUUUUCUGACGCUGAGGCACGAAAGUGUGGGGAGCAAACAGGAUUAGAUACCCGGGUAGUC